This 346-nucleotide ribosomal RNA is filed under the name uncultured bacterium. RNAcentral's name for it is "partial 16S ribosomal RNA". It matches the Rfam family "Bacterial small subunit ribosomal RNA", at positions 338 to 681 of the family's 1533-position model. The record is from RNAcentral.
CCUACGGGUGGCAGCAGUGAGGAAUAUUGGUCAAUGGACGAGAGUCUGAACCAGCCAAGUAGCGUGAAGGAUGACUGCCCGAUGGGUUGUAAACGUCUGGUAUAAAGGAAUAAAACGAGGCACGUGUGCCGUUUUGCAUGUACUUUAUGAAUAAGGAUCGGCUAACUCCGUGCCAGCAGCCGCGGUAAUACGGAGGAUCCGAGCGUUAUCCGGAUUUAUUGGGUUUAAAGGGAGCUUAGAUGGGUUGUUAAGUCAGUUGGGAAAGUUUGCUGCUCAACCGUAAAAUUGCAAUUGAUACUGGCAGUCUUGUGUACAGUUGAGGUAGGCGGUAUUCGUUGUGUAGCGG